RNAcentral lists this long non-coding RNA (12028 nucleotides) under Homo sapiens (human). RNAcentral's name for it is "HSALNT0257906". Lineage: Eukaryota; Metazoa; Chordata; Mammalia; Primates; Hominidae. The record is from RNAcentral.
GAAUUAGAUACGCCACUGGCUGAAUCAUGCCUUAUGAAACAUAAUUACAUACAGCCCAAACCUAAUGUGAUUUGCAUUUUCUGAUCUUUUCCUUAGACACAGUCAUUGAAAUUAAUGAGGAGGAACCUAGUAGUCUUAGUGAAGUAAACCUUAUGCAUUAUUAAGAAUCUCUCAUCCCUGUUUAUUGAGGAGCCAUUGGCAGACUGAUAUUGUAGAAAAUAAAGAGAGGCUUCAGCCCGUUGGAGAGGGAGUAUAGGAAAUCAGCUCUCUCUUUUAAUGCUGCUUUGUGGAAGUGUUUGGGAGAAAAAAAAAUAACAGAUACUUGACUGUUAUAACUUACUAACUAUAGUAAAGAUAGUUACUUCUAGGGAGAAGAACUUAGGUGGUUUCCACUGGAUUAAAAAACAACCUUAUUUCUCUGCUUUCCUCCAAAUCCCCACAUAACAACAAAAACCUAACUUGUGAAAGAUCUUAAGCUCUUACUGUUUUUAAGUAGAACUUGGAUUUUCAGAUAUUUUUUAAGUUCGUAAAGCUGUUUCUUCUGACAAUAAUAGAGAUAAAUAGAGCAUUCAUACUCAAAUCCUUGUUGGUUUGGAAUUUCAAGCAAGGAUGUGAAGACAGAAGCACUCUACGAGCACUGGAAGUAUCUGGGAUACUUGUGCCUGCUUAUCGUUUUUGUUUUUUUAGGUUUCUUUCAAAAUGAAGAUUCACGCAGUGAUUGUAACUGUCUUGAUGAGCCAGGUUGUAGUUUACAAAGUUUUAUUCCAGAAGGAAAAAAGCCACUUCACCUAGAAAUUUUGCAAACAAAUCAACUUUUACUCUGUGAGUAAUCCAGGGCCUAUCAAGACUACAUUUUAGUUGACUGCAAGGCCUCUGAGGCACGGGAAUUCACAGCUGAGUUCUUGGAGAAGGUCCUUGAGCCAUCUGGAUGGCGGACAGUCUGGCACAUGAUGUGCUCAAGGUGCUGCUUGAGGCCACAGAUGUGGACAUUUCAGCCUUGAAGGCAGUGGUGCAGCUUGCUGAGCCAUACCUCUGUGAAUCUUGAGCGAGUACUUUCACCUUGGAGUGUGUGAAAGAGCUCCUCGAGCUGAAGGAACAUCAGUUGCCCCUGAAGGAGCUGGGUGGUGUUUGAUGAUUCUGGAGACAGCACUUGUAACUUGUAACUGAGCAUGUCAGCUAGGAAGGAUAGCCACUGAGCAAGCCUGUAAGGCUAUUGGUCUGCCCAUUCUGGUUUCUUCACCAAUGAGAAAACUGGGACCUGGGGAGUUUGCAGAAGCCAUCCAAGGGCACCUGCUUCUCACAGCACAGCAGCUUCCUGCAGCCCUCCCUCCUGUCUUGUUUCUCCCUUAAUUGAGAGGAGAGGCCAGAACCAGAUGCAGGCAGUUCCAACAGUAAUGAAUUGCUCUAAGGUGUGGAUCCAAGAACCGGUGACAAGGUCAGGAAAUUCCAUCCCGGGACACUGACCCAACUAAGAGACUGUGCAUGAUGGCUAAGUUCAGAGCUCUGAGGAGAUGGUAAAACUCAUUUGCAACGAAACAAGAUAUUUUCCAACUCUGCAGCCAGGUGCAGAAAGCUGGAAGUGAUGCUCCAGGGAGUUUAUGUCUCCCCAUCUUGACCCACACCAAUACCUGAGGCUCGUUGCUUUGAUUCAAGUCCGGACAAGCUCUAAGGUUCAGCUCACACUGGGAGUCACGCUGCAGGUGCAAGCAAGAAUGGGGCUUGAAUCACACCCCUACUUGAUUUCUCCGUCUCCCUCCUCCUUCCUACUUCUCCCAGGAGCACCAUAGAAAAUUCCUGGAGCUCCUGGGAGUCUGUGAACGGUGGUGAUGCAGAAAAGCAAAGCGUGUAUAUCUGUUUUAGUCCUCCCUCAGAUCUGCUGAGGACACCUUGAGCCUGAAGUGAAAUCACAGUGGCUCUCAGGAAGAAGGGUGACUGUCUGGUGUGCAGUUGUGCUGCCACGGCAAAGGGAACUUUAAAACAUAGAACUGCCAUGUAGAAGCUCAGGAAAUAUCCAUGACCAAAUCCAUUUUCUUACAGGUCUGUCAUCUCUUUUGGUCAUAGAAUCAAAAAAAAUGGAAGACGAGAAAAGGCAGUGAAGACUGACAGCCUGUUGGUUGCUAUUCCAGUCGUGUCUGCUCCAUACGCGCCCUCCAUCUCAUCCCACCCAGUCAGUAUAUUUUCACCAGGCAGUGUUGCAGAAAUGUCUGUGGACUCCAGUUCUAUUGCAGUCAGGCAGCAUUUACAGGUUUGACUUUCAACUGACCAUGGCAGGAAGUCUAGAGGCAAUUAUAGCCAACACCUGCUCUAUGUGCGUGCCGGGCAGGUGGUGGCUGAUUCCUUGCCUCCAAUCCAUGAUGUGUUUCCUAUCAGCUCAGAAUAAUAACAGUGACACCUCUGCUUCUUCUCUGUCUGGGGGAGCUCAAGGCACUUUACUCUGAAAACCCUCAAAUUACUGGCAUUUCUUUUAGUGAAGAUAUCAAAUUAAUGACUGAAAAAAAUGUAGAAGAUGGUUAUUGGUGAUGUUAAAAGACAAGUUUAACCCACUUCCACACAACAUGUCUUACAAGCGUAAAGUAUUUGAGUAGAGAAAACUAUGAAUCUAAAAUUGAACAAGAUGUGAAUUUAGACAGACAGCGUUUGUGGUCACAGAUGUGCCGAGAUGAAGACUGGAGGAAGGGCACAGUUUCUGUAGCAGUGACUUCCACCCAGGGUGUGUCUUGCUAUUGUGUGAAAUGAUUUUUGACACUGGACAAAUCUCUACUUCCACUUACAAUGUUUUGCCAGCUAGCUGAGGCAUUCUGGGAGGGUGAGGAGCCUGGGCUUGGGCUGACCUCAGGAAAUCCUGUGUAAAGGGCUUUUGCACACUCAGAAGCAGGCCAGGUUCACCGCUGUUAUGUGCAAUAUUCACUCCUGGCUCUUGCUUCUGAGCCUUGGCAAACCUGAGUCCUAAGAGGCCAAUGAAAAGGAAAACACGUUAAGGAGCCAGGGCGCUUCUUGGAUAUCAGCCUGAAUAGUUCUGUUUCAUCUGGACCCCAAUUUUACUCUCCUGCUGUUUUACACGGAACUAAAAAGAGCUUUACAGAGGACCAGAUAGACUGCAGGUCCCUAGGCAGUCAGGGGCCAGGCAAGGCAUAGGAGGGUGUCAGGCCUCUGAGCUCAAACUAGGCCAUCAUAUCCCCUGUGACCUGCACGUACACAUCCAGAUGGCUGGUUCCUGCCUUAACUGAUGGCAUUGUCUUGUGAAAUUCCUUCUCCUGGCUCAUCCUGGCUCAAGAGCUCCCCUACUGAGCACGUUGUGACCCCCACUCCUGCCUGCCAGAGAACAACCCCCCUUUGACUGUAAUUUUCCUUUACCUACCCAAAUCCUAUAAAAUGGCCCCACCCCUAUCUCCCUUCACUAACUCUCUUUUCGGACUCAGCCUGCCUGCACCCAGGUGAAAUAAACAGCCUUGUUGCUCACACAAAGCCUGUUUGGUGGUCUCUUCACAGGGACUCGCAUGAAAUUUGGUGCUGUGGCUCGGAUAGGGGGACCUCCCUCGGGAGAUCAAUCCCCUGUCCUCCUGCUCUUUGCUCCAUGAGAAAGAUCCACCUACGACCUCAGGUCCUCAGACCAAGCAGCCCAAGAAACAUCUCACCAAUUUCAAAUCUGGAAAGCAGCCUCUUUUUACUCUCUUCUCCAACCUCCCUCAAUAUCCCUCAACCUCUUUCUCUUUUCAAUCUUGGUGCCACACUUCAAUCUCUCCCUUCUCUUAAUUUCAAUUCGUUUCAUUUUCUGGUAGAGACAAAGGAGACACGUUUUAUCUGUGGACCCAAAACUCCGGCGCCGGUCACGGCCUGGGAAGGCAGCCUUCCCUUGGUGUUAAUCAUUGCAGGGAUGCCUCUCUGAUUAUUCACCCACGUUUCAGAGGUGUCGGACCACACAGGGACGCCUGCCUUGGUCCUUCACCCUUAGUGGCAAGUCCUGCUUUUCUGGGGGAGGGGCAAGAACCCCAACCCCUUCUCUCCAUGUCUCUACCUCUUCUCUGCUUUUCUGGGGGAGGGGCAAGAACCCCUCAACCCCUUCUCCUUCACCCUUAAUGGCAAGUCCCACUUUUCUGGGGGAGGGGCAAGAACCCCUCAACAUCUUGUCCUUCACUGUUAGCAGCAAGUCUCACUUUUCUGGGGGAGGGGCAAGAACCCCUCAAACCCUUGUCCUUCACCGUCAGCAGCAAGUCCCGCUUUUCUGGGAGAGGGGCAAGAACCUCUCAACCCCUUCUCCUUCACCCUUAGAGGCAAGUCCCGCUUUUCUGGGGGAGAGGCAAGAACCCCUUAUUUCCACAGCCCGACCUCUUAUCUCUGUGCCCUGAUCCCUUAUUUCUGUGCCCUGACCUCUUAUCUCUGCACCCCAACCCCUUAUUUCUGCACCCCCACCUCUUUCCCACUUUUCUGGAGGGUAAGAACCCCCGAACCCCUUCCCUCCAUGUCUCUACUCUCUCUUUUCUCUAGCCUUGCUUCCUUCACUAUGGGCAACCUUCCACCCUCCAUUCCUCCUUCUUCUCCCUUAGCCUGUGUUCUCAAGAACUUAAAACCUCUUCAACUCACACCUGACCUAAAACCUAAAUGCCUUAUUUUCUUCUGCAAUGCCGCUUGAUCCCAAUACAAACUUGGCAGUAGUUCCGAAUAGCCGGAAAACAGCACUUUCAAUUUUUCCAUCCUACAAGAUCUAAAUAAUUCUUGUCGUAAAAUAGGCAAACAGUCUGAGGUGCUGACGUCCAGGCAUUCUUUUACACAUUGGUCCCUCCCUAGUCUCUGUUCCCAAUGCAACUCGUCCCAAAUCUUCCUUCUUUCCCUCCCACCUGUCCCCUCAGUCCCAACCCCAAGUGUCGCUGAGUCUUUCUAAUCUUCCUUUUCUACAGACCCAUCUGACCUCUCCCCUCCUCUCCAGGCUGAGCUAGGUCCCAAUUCCUCCUCAGCUUCCGCUCCUCCACCCUGUAAUCCUUUUAUCACCUCGCCUCCUCACACCCAGUCCGGCUUACAGUUUCGUUCCUUGACUAGCCCUCCCCCACCUGCCCAGCAAUUUACUCUUAAAAAGGUGGAUGGAGCUAAAAGCAUAGUCAAGGUUAAUGCUCCUUUUUCUUUAUCCCAAAUCAGACAGCGUUUAGGCUCUUUUUCAUCAAAUAUAAAAAUCCAGCCCAGUUCAUGGCUCGUUUGGCAGCAACCCUGAAAUGCUUUACAGCCCUAGACCCUAAAAGGUCAAAAGGCCAUCUUAUUCUCAAUAUACAUUUUAUUACCCAAUCUGCUCCCGACAUUAAAUAAAACUUCAAAGAUUAAAUUCCAGCCCUCAAACCCCACAACAGGAUUUAAUUAACCUUGCCUUCAAGGUGUACAAUAAUAGAGUAGAGGCAGCCAAGUAGUAACAUAUUUCUGAGUUGCAAUUCCUUGUCUCCACCAUGAGACAAACCCCAGCCACAUCUCCAGCACACAAGAAUUUCCAAAUGCCUAAACCGCAGUGGCCAGGCAUUCCUCCAGCACCACCUCCCCCAGAAGCUUGCUACAAGUGCCAGAAAUCUGGCCACCAGGCCAAGGAAUGCCCGCAGCCCGGGAUUCCUCCUAAGCCAUGUCCCAUCUGUGGGGGACCCCACUGGAAAUCGGACUGUUCAACUCACCUGGCAGCCACUCCCAGAGCCCCUGGAACUCUGGCCCAAGGCUGUCUGACUGACUUCUUCCCAGAUCUUCUCGGCUUAGUGGCUGAAGACUGACAUGCCCGAUCGCCUCAGAAGCCCGAUAGACCAUCAUGGAUGCCGAGCUUUAGGUAACUCUCACAGUGGAGGGGAGAAACGCGAAUGGAUGCGAGGUGGUGCAAAAUCCACAAAGGAGCUCCAGGGGACGUGGCAGGAUCCCUCUGCUAUGACUGUGCUGCAUAAGAGUCUGAGCCCACGCCAACCUAGAGUGAUUCUAAAGACCAUUUCCACAUGGAGAAGCUGCCAGAACAAGCACUGCUACCCUUGGAGGCCAUUGACAUUGUGAGGUCGCUGGGACUGAAAGGAGGUUGACCAGAAGUUCUGUUUGGCAAUGCAAAGCCAGGAGGAAAAGUUAAUGGAGUUUGUCCCCCGGGUCCCAAGAAAGCUGACCCAGGACGAUGAAGCUAGAAUUUGUGUUCUAGGAGGUGCUGCUUCUUCCAGGAAAGUCUACUCAAAGCACACACUGUGAGCUGCUGCAUGUCUCUUGAGCUAGUUCACUGCAGUUUUCAUGAUGAAAGUGAUCUGUUUCAGUAAACUUUCUGUUAUUUGAGAGCAUGGGAAAAAUAUUUGCUGUGAUUUCCCAAUUCCCCAUUUUUUCUGAUUCUUUGUUGCAGUUUCCACAACUUUGUUAUCAGGCUGUGACAGAGGUUUGUGAACUGAUGAAAGCUCCAGAGCCUCCCAGGCCCUCUGAGUCUGAUGCCUGCACUCCACAAUCAGGCCUCAAGCUCAGGGCGCCUGCCACCAACCCACGCUGGGCUUCAGGGGCAGGCAGCACUUGAAUGGGGUUUGGUUAUUGUCUUUCUUUAUUUUCUCUUAUUUUAAGCCUUAAAAAAAAAAAGAUAAGGUCUUGCUCUAUUGCCCAGGCUGGAGAGAAAUGGUGUGAUCAUAGCUCACUGCAGCUUUGAAUUCCUGGGUUCAACCGAUCCUCCCACCUAAGCCUCCCGAGUAACCAGGACUGCAAGUAUGCACCACCACACCCAGUUAAUUAAAUUUGUGUGUGUGUGUGUGUGUAGAGGUGGGUUCUUGCUUUGUUGCCCAGGCUGGUCUUGAACUCUUGAGUUCAGACAAUCCUGCCACCUCAACCUCACAAAGUGCUGGAAUUACAGGCGUGAGCCACUGCACUCAGCCUCCUUAAGCCAUUUGCUUAAGUGGCUUUAUUGCAAAACAAUAUCAGAAUAACAAAGAAAUAUAAGGUCAAACUUUCCCUGUUCCCAUCUAGUCCAAUAAGCAUUGCUGCUCUUGCCAGGGAUUCUCGCCCAUCUCCAUGUGCCAGUGCAAUCCAUACUGGUUGUUCUCCUUGGCUACCCCACAUCUGAGUCUCUGCCUUGUCUGCAUUCUUCCCCACUUUAUGAAGAGAUGAGUCAGUGCCUGAUUUUUUCUGCCUCUCUUGUCACUAGGGCACAGCCAUGUGCAUGGGCCCUGUCACUCAGAAGCCCCCAUCCACCAACAACAUGGCUCUGGGGGCCUCCUCUCUCUGGAAGAAUUGGCAGUUUUAGCAAGAAAGGUUUUCAGAGGCAGCAAUGAUGGUGGAGAUGUCCAGGGCCAGUGGCAGGUCAAACCAUUCUCUGUGUCAUUUGGGGCAGUGUUUAUGCUGUCCCUCAUUUUGGUUCCCUAAGCCUCCGAACAUGUACGUGAAUUUCCGAAUAUUCUCAAUUAAAUUGUUUUUCUGUUGAAAUUGGCCUGGUUGCUUUCAACUAUGACAAACCUAGCUAUAUAAGUAUUAUUUUGUAGUGUUGGGAUUGAUAGAACUUUAUGUUCUACACAUUAGCAGAAUACCAUGUGUAUUUUUCCAUUUGACAUAAUCUUUUAUCUUUCCAUUGAUAAGUAUUAUUACUAUUUAGUGAUAUAUUAUUUGAGUUCUCUUGCCCCUUUUGGGUAGCCCAUGUUAACAGUAAUACCCAGCUGCUACACUGAGAGCCUCUGAGACUUACUGGCUUCAGGGGAGACAGCACAUUAUCAGCUGUGGUGGCCAUGGCCGAGACUCCUUUUGCCUGAGAAAAGCAGAGGAAAAUGUAGAAGGGACUUCGUCUUGCAUCUGAGACACCAGCACAGCCACAGGGUGGUAGAGCACCAAGGGGGCUUUUGGAAUCUUUGAUUCUGGGAUGUGGCUCUUGGAAGGCAUUUCUGGACUUGCCCUGGGCCAGGGGGAGCCCACUGUCUUAAAGGGUGAGUCCCAGGCCAGGCAGCAUUUGCCACAGUCGACUGAAGAGCCCUGGGGGCCUUCAAGGGACAUAGAAGGUAAUCUGAAAGUACUCCGCAUAGGCCUGUGGGGUGGUGGCCAUGGGGCAAGGCUGCCCUGCCUCUGGAAAGGGUAGGAGAGAGUGAGAAAGACUGCAUCCUGUUGUCCGAGUGCCAGCUCAGCCACAGUACAAUAGAACACCAGCUAGGCUCCCAGCCAGCACCUCUGGACCAGCCUGGAAACUGGGGGUAACUCAUCGCCCUGAAGGGAAGGACAAAGGCCUGGCUGGCUUUGCCGUCUGCUGAUUGUUGAGCCCUAGGCGGGGAGCGGUUACAGUCGGCCUUGGGUGAGACUCAGAGCUGCACUGGCUUCAGGUCUGACUCAGCACAGUCACAGUGAUGGUGGCCACAGGGGUGCUUAUGUCACUCUAUCCCAGCUUUAGGUGGCUCAGAACAGACACACUCCAUUUCUUUGGGAGAAAGUAAGAAAGAGAACAAGAGUCUCUCUGAUAAUCCAGAGAGUUCUCCCAGAUCUUGUCCAAGAUCAUCAAGGCAAUACCACUGAGUCUGCAAAAACUGCAGUGUUACUGGGCUUGGGGUGCCCCCUAAAACAGAUACAACUUAGAUCACAACACCCAUGGCCUUUUAAAUAUGUGAAAAGCCUUCCCAAGAAGGACGGGUACAAACAAGCCCAGAUAGCAAAGGCUACAAUAAAUACCUAACUCUUCAAUUCCAGACACAAAUGGACACCUACAAGUAUCAAGACAUUCCAGGAAAAAAAUGACCUCACCAAAUGAACUAAAUAAAGCAUCAGGGACCCAUCCUGAAGAAACAGAUACGUGACCUUUUAGACAGAGAAUACAAAAUAGCCACUCUGAGGAAACUCAAAGAAAUUCAAGAUAACACAGAGAAGGAAUUCAGAAUUCUAUCAGAUAAAUUUAACAAAGAGAUUGAAAUCAUUCAAAAUGAUCAAACAGAUACUGUGGAGAUAAAAAAUGGAAUUGGCAUACUAAAGAAUGCAUCAGAGUCUUAAUAAUAGAAUUAAUCAAGUAGAAGAAAGAAUUAGCUUGAAGACAGGCUAUUUCAAAAUACACAGUUAGAGGACUCAAAAGAAAAUAGAAUAAAAAAUAAUGAAGCAUGUCAAAGAAUCUAGAAAAUAGCCUCAAAAGGACAAAUCUAAGAGUUAUUGGCCUUAAAGGGGAGACAAAGAAAGAGAUAAGGGUAGAAUGUUUAUUCAAAGGGAUAAUAACAGAGACUUUUCGAAACCCGGAUAAUAAUAUCAAUAUCCAAGUACAAGAAAACAGAACACCAAGCAGAUUAAAUCCAAAGAAGACUGCCUCAAGGCAUUUAAUAAUCAAAUUCUAAAGAUCAAGGGUAAAGAAAGGAUCCUAAAAGUAACAAGGGAGAAGAAACAGAUAACAUACAAUGGAUCUCCAGUAUGUCUUGCAGUGGACUUUUCAGUGGAAACCUUAAAGUCCAGGAGAGAGUGGCACAACACAUUUAAAGUGCUGAAAGAAAGAAACUUUUACCCUAGAAUAGUAUAUCCAGCAAAAAUAUUCUUCUAACAUGAAGAAAAAAUAAAGACUUUCCCAGGCAAACAAAAGCUGAGGGAUUUUAUCAGCACUAGACCUGUCUUAUGAGAAAUGCCAAAGGGAGUACUUCAAUCAGAAAGAAAAGGAUGUUAGUAAGUAAUCAUGCGAAAGUACAAAAUUCAUGGGUAAUAGUAAGCACACAGAAAAACACAGAAUUUUAUAUCCCUGUAACUGUGAUGUGUAAACUACUAUUAUUCUAAGUAGAAAAACUAAAUGAUGAACCAAUCAAAAAUAAUAACUAUAACAAUUUUUCAAGCCAUAGACAGUACUAUAAGAUAUAAAUAGAAACAACAAAAAGUUUAAAAUCAGGACAAAGUUAAGACGUAGAGUUUUUAUUAGUUUCCUUUUUUUUUGCUUCUUUGUUUCUUUGUUUAUGCAAACAAUGUUAAGUUGUUAUCAGCUUAAAGUAACAGGUCAUAAAGAAGCCAGUCAUGGUGUCUCACACUUGUAAUGCCAGCACUUUGAGAGUCCAAGGUGGGUGGAUCACUUGAGGUCAGAAGUUUGAGACCAGCCUGGCCAAUAUGGCGAAACCCCAUCGCUACUAAAAAUACAAAAAUUAGCCAGGUAUGGUGGCACAUGCCUGUAAUCCCAGCUACUCAGGAGGCUGAGGCAUGAGAACCCAGAAUGUGGAGGUUGAAGUAAGCCAAGAUCACACCACUGUACUCCAGCUUGGAUGACAGAGCAAGACUCUGUUUCAGAAGGAAAAAAAAAAGUCAUAAGAUAGUAUUUGCAAGCCUCAUAGUGACCUCAAACCAUAAAAACAUACAAUGAAUACACAAAAAGUAAAAAGCUAGAAACUAAAUCAUAUUACUAGAGAAAAAUCACUUUCACUAAAGGAAGGAAAGAAAGAAGGCAGAGAACAUCACAGAACAACUAGAAAACAAGUUAACACAAUGGCGGGAGUAAGUUCUUACUUAUCAAUAUUAACAUUGAUUGUAAAUAAGAACACCAAUAAAAUGAAAGAUUACAUCAAGUUAAAAAGUUAAAAAGCUUCUGCACAGCAAAGGAAACAGUCAAUAAAGUGGUAACCCCGCAGAGUGGGCAAAAAAUAUUUGCAAACUACCCAUGUGACAAGGGAUUAAUAACCAGAAUAUAUAAGGAGCUCAAACAACUCUAGAGAAAAACAAAUCUAAUAAUCUGAUCAAAAAAUAGGCAAGAUAUUUGAAUAGACAUUUCUCAAAAAAGACAUACAAAUGGCAAACAGUCAUAUGAAAAGGUGCUCAACAUCAUUGAUCAUCAGAACAAUGCAAAUAAAAACUACAAUGAAAUGUCAUCUCAUCCCUGUUAAAAUCGAUUGUAUCCAAAAGACAGGCAAAAACAAAUGCUGGUGAAAUGUGGAGAAAAGGGAACCCUCAUACACUGUUGGUGGGAAUGUAAGUUAGCCCAACCACUAUGAAUAGUGGUUUGAAGGUUCCUCAAAAAGCUAAAUAUGGAGCUACCAUAUGGUUCAGCCAUCCCACUGCUGGGUAUAGACCCAAAAGAAAGGAAAUCAGUAUAUUGAAGAGAUGUCUGCACUCCCGUGUUUGUUUCAGCACUGUUCACAGUAGCAAAGAUUUUGAAACAACCCAAGUGUCCCUCAAUAGAUGAAUAGAUAAACGAAAUGUGGUGCUUUUACACAAUGGAGUACUGUUCAGCCAUAAAAAUGAAUGAGAUCCUGUUCUUUACAACAACAUGGGUGGAAAUGAAGAUCAUUAUAUUAAGUGAUAUAAGCCAGACACAGAAAGACAAACAUUACAUCUUCUCAUGUACUUAUGGGAUCUGAAGAUCAAAAUAAUUGAACUCCAUGGACAUAGAGAGUAGAAGAAUGGUUACCAUAGGCUGGGAUUAGUAGUGGGACAGGUGGGGCAGGGGGCAGGUUAGGACAGGUAAUAGGUACAAAAAUAAUAGGAAGAAUGAAUAAGACCUACUAUUUGUUAGCAUAAAAUGGUACUUGUAAUCAAUUACACUUAAUUAUAUGUUUUAAAAUAACUCAAAGAGUAUAAUUGGAUUCUUUGUAACACAAAGAAUAAAUGUUUGAGGAGAUGGAUACCCUAUUCAGCAUGAUGUGUUAUUAUGCAUUGCAGGCCUGUAUCAAAGCAUUUCAAGUACGCUAUAGAUAUAUACACCUACUAUGUACUCACAAAAAUUAACAAAUUAAAAAAUUAAAGAAAACAGAGUGAGAAUGGGAUGGUGAGCAGGUGGUAUAAGGUAUAUGAUAUUGGUGUUCAGACUGUUAUCCAAAACCCUAAGAAUAGGCCAGGUGCGGUGGCUCACACCUGUAAUCCCAGCACUUUGCGAGGCUGAGGCGGGUAGAUCAUGUGGUGAGGAGUUCAAGACCAGCCUGGCCAAGAUGGUAAAACCCUGUCUCUAGUAAAAAUACAAAAAUUAGCCAGGCAUGGUGGUGGGCGCCUGUAAUCCCAGCUACUUAGGAGGCUGAGGCAGAGAAUUGCUUGAACCCAGGAGGCAGAGGUUGCAGUGAGCUGAGAUCAUGCCACUGCACUCCAGCCUGGGCAACAGAGCGAGACUCUGUCUCAAAAAAAAAAGGCAAAAAAAACAAAA